Molecule: small nucleolar RNA, 91 nt
Filed under: Homo sapiens (human)
Lineage: Eukaryota; Metazoa; Chordata; Mammalia; Primates; Hominidae
Description: snoRNA (AC138972.8)
Source: RNAcentral
UUCCUGUGAUGAAUCAGUUGCAAAACCAUUUGUAGUUUCCAUCUAAAUCUUGAUUAUGGGAAUAAUAACACCUUGAUUUAACCCUCAGGGA